AGCGGGUGGCGAGUAAAUGUGCUUGUGUGAUGUUAUGUUGCUUCUACCAACGUUUGUGUUUCAGUGGGGUGAUUGGUUUUAUGCUGUGUUCUACCGAGCGGCCCCCUGUUGACUUCAAGCACCCAGUGAAUUCGAUAGAUGCAAAUGACAGUAAUAACAAAUCCAAAGGACCCUUGAAAUUUUACAACCCAGAGAUUCAUACAGCGGCUUUCUGUUUGCCAUCCUUUGCGAAGAAGGUGAUUGAAAGGAAAUCAAAUUGAAGAAACUUUCAAGAAUUCAUGGCACAAGUGGCUGCUGUUGUGGAGUGCCGUUGAAUGGCUUCAAAACAAUGGUUCAUCUGCCAGUGAACCAUGGAAUAAGUAAUUUAAAUUGAGUGUCGGGAAAAGAGUUGUAGUAUUUUGGAUGGUUUUACCGAAUUUUCUCAUUCCUCAUUAAUUAGUCGCCUCUGUUUCUUGAGGUGUGAUUAUUAUAUUUCAGUUGUUACAAAUAGGGCUACA
This is a long non-coding RNA of Carya illinoinensis, 497 nucleotides long. RefSeq lists it as uncharacterized. Lineage: Eukaryota; Viridiplantae; Streptophyta; Magnoliopsida; Fagales; Juglandaceae. The transcript has 2 exons. The record is from RefSeq and is a predicted model, not a curated record.